This 253-nucleotide ribosomal RNA is filed under the name uncultured bacterium. RNAcentral describes it as "partial 16S ribosomal RNA". It matches the Rfam family "Bacterial small subunit ribosomal RNA", at positions 524 to 776 of the family's 1533-position model. The record is from RNAcentral.
UACGGAGGAUGCAAGCGUUAUCCGGAUUCAUUGGGUUUAAAGGGUGCGUAGGCGGAAUUGUAAGUCAGUGGUGAAAUCCUACAGCUUAACUGUGGAACUGCCAUUGAUACUGCUAUUCUUGAAUGCGGUUGAGGUAGGCGGAAUGUGUAAUGUAGCGGUGAAAUGCGUAGAUAUUACACAGAACACCGAUUGCGAAGGUAGCUUACUAAGCCGUGAUUGACGCUGAGGCACGAAAGCGUGGGGAUCAAACAGG